CUCCCAAAGUGCUGAGAUUUUUGGCUUAAGCCACUGCGCCCGGCCCUAUUUUCUAUGUAAUUUGAAAGGCGCUGUAGAAUUUGAUGAGUCGGGAAGCAGAAGCAACUGUGGCUCCACAACCUUUUUCUCCUCUGCUUUUAAGGCAUGUGUUCUUUUGGGGUGGAUCUGAUUUUGUUCUGGUGUUCUGAAUCAAAGCAGAAGCACGUGCAGGGGAGGUGGGAAGGGUGUCAGUGUAAUCACAAAGGGGAACGCUCCCUGGCUCCAGCUCUCAGGAGGCUCCUGAGGGCUCCCGAAGAAAACUGUGCUGCCUUCUGGAUUCCAGGCAGCACAGGCUCCCUUCAGUUGAACCUGAGGCAGUUCCAGCCCGCCAAGCCAUUUCCCUUGGCCACCCAGAGCUAGACGGGGAAGAGGUAAAGGAGAUUUUGGCAAGAACAGGCUACUGGCCCCUGCUGCUAAAACAUGCCUGCCCACAGUGCUUCAGAGAAAGGGCAAAGUCAUUUGCUGUCAUGCUUGGAAGGAGUAGAACCAAGUGUUUAUGAGCAUGGACUUUGGAGUCAGGAUACUCUCCUGAUAUACCACGAUGCAGAAUGUCAAGUAGGAAAAGAAGCUGUUGCAUUGGGCAAUUAAGAAGUCAUUGGUGAGAGAAGUUUCAGUCUGAAGUGGAAUCAUAGUAAAUUACAGAAAAAUAGUCUUUGGAGAGAGAAGGAAUCUGGUUAAUCCACAGGCCACACAAUCAUGGUUGAAAAUUAGUGAAUGAGCGAAUGAUGGAUCCAUCUCUUGAAGCAAUACUUGAAUCGCAGAAUUCUUAUAUUGAUAGAAGCAGAAGGAAACCAGAAGUGCUCCAAUUAAAGGCCUCCAUUUUUCAGAUCAGCAGACUAUGAGCCAUGCAUAGGAUCACACACAGCUCUUUUAAAAAUUAUGAGCCACUCAGCCUCGGCCUCCG
RNAcentral lists this long non-coding RNA (943 nucleotides) under Homo sapiens (human). RNAcentral's name for it is "HSALNT0357048". The record is from RNAcentral. Lineage: Eukaryota; Metazoa; Chordata; Mammalia; Primates; Hominidae.